CAAUUGGGGUUUGCUUGCAGACGAAGAAGCUCACUUCUCUGCACAGGAAGCAUUCAGUUUUUCUUUCUCCGAACCCUGGGUUUUGGCUGAUUUUGGAGUUCAAGAGGCUCGGAUUUCACUCUUGAGUGUUUGAUUAGUUGGGAAUGCUAUUGCUGGAAGUUUUGAAUUCUAGGGAUUCUCUUUGAAAAGCGGUGGAGCUAUAUUCGGUUUGGAAAAAAAAGGCAAGAUCUUUGUUUAACUCUAAACAAAAUUCUGAUUGAAUGAAUUUUGGUGACCAAACACCAGCAAUAUGUGAAAUGGAGUGAUGGAGGAUAAAAGGGUUACUGGAAUUUUGUGGGGGAGCUGUAACAUGAGAGAGUUAUACACAGCCACAACCACAUCCACACCUAAUUGUAACCCUCGCCUAAUCCAUGCGCAAGCCAUCAAAAGCGCCAUCACCGACCGCUCCUUUUACAACUCUCUCAUCACUCUCUAUUCUAAAUCCAACCUCUUAUCUAAAGCUGUUCGUAUCUUCCACCACCACAUCCCUUCCCCCAAUGUUGUCUCAUGGACUGCCCUCAUCUCUGCCUAUGCCUCCACCUCAUUCGCUCUUCUUCACUUCAUUUCCAUGCUCCGCCACCCCACUCUUCCCAACCAGCGCACCUUGGCCUCCCUUCUCAAGACUUGCGCCUCCCUUCCUUCUCUCUCCUUCGGCCUCCAACUCCACUCUCUAUCCCUCAAGCUCUCCCUCUCUGCCCAACCAUUUGUCAGCUCCGCGCUUGUCAACUUUUACUCCAAAUGUCGGUUGCCGCUUGAGGCUUGCAGGGUGUUCGAUGAAAUUACAGAGAGAGAUGAGGUUUGUUUCGCAGCGAUGAUUGUUGGCCUUGCCCAGAAUGCACGGCCUGUGGAUGCACUUCUGGUGUUUGGUGAAAUGAAGGCUUGCAAUGUGGGGUCUACGAUGUACAGUGUGUCUGGGGCGUUACGGGCUGCAUCAGAGCUGGCGGCGUUGGAGCAAUGUAGGAUAAUCCAUGGCCAUGCUGUCUCUACUGGAUUUGAUUCAAAUUUGAUUGUAGGGACUGCUUUGGUUGAUGGGUAUGGGAAGGCGGGGCUUGUCUUAGAUGCUAGGCGGAUUUUUGAUGAACUGUUGCCAAGUUUGAAUGAGGUGGCCUGGAACGCGAUGAUGGCGGGUUAUGCACAGCAGGGGGAUCAGAGGUCGGUGGUUGAGCUCUUUAAUUCCAUGGAAGCUCGAGGGCUUGUACCGGAUGAAUAUAGCUUUUUGGCAAUCCUAACAUCAUUGUAUAAUGCAGGCUUGGUCGGUGAGGCUGAGGGGUGGUUGACCAGGAUGAAGGUUGAUUAUGGGUUGGAACCAGGGUUAGAACAUUAUACGUGUUUGGUGGGAACAAUGGGCCGAGCAGGGCAAUUGGAGGAUGCAGAGAGGAUUGCUAUGACAAUGCCAUUUGAGCCAGAUGCUGCGGUGUGGCGAGCAUUACUGUCCAGUUGUGCAAUGCAUGGUGCAGCGGACAUGGCUUGGGCUAUGGGAAGACGUCUAAUGGAACUUGACCCACAGGAUGACUCUGCUUAUGUGAUUGUUGCAAAUGUUUUGGCCACCAAUGGGAGGUGGGAUGAAGUAGCUGAAGUGAGGAAAAUGAUGAAAGAUAGGAUGGUGAAGAAGGAGGGUGGGAGGAGUUGGAUUGAAGUGCGAGGGAAGGUUCACGUGUUUUUAGCGGGGGACAGAAGGCAUGAGAGGAGCCAUGAAAUCUAUGCAAAGUUAGUAGAGCUGAUGGAGAAGAUUGAGGAAUUGGGUUACAGUCCAGUCUUGAAAGAGAUGUUGCAUGAAGUAGAAGAGGGUGUGAAAAAGGAAACCCUUUGGUACCACAGUGAGAAGUUGGCAGUGGCAUUUGGGGUGGUGAGUGAUGCAGCACCGCCUGGAAAGGCGUUACGGAUUGUGAAGAACUUGAGGAUUUGUAAAGAUUGUCAUGAAGCUUUUAAGUAUAUAAGUUGUGUGGUGGAGAGGGAGAUUAUAGUGAGGGAUGUCAACAGAUACCAUAGAUUUUUGAAUGGUACUUGUACUUGUGGAGAUUAUUGGUAACCCAUGUCAACCUGAAAAAUGCCAGACUAUCAAUUUUGAUUGUAAACUCAUUUUAGAUCUUAGGCAGUGUAACUUAACUCUGAGCAGAUUCAGUUCUAUAGUUGGCCAAACUCUGAAUUCCAUUUUGAGGGGAUGCAUUUGGUGCUACAUCAAAGGAUGAUCUUUUGUAUCCUCAAUUAGUGGAACACUUAGAAGUUUGUGUUGUUUCACAUAGAAAGCCUGCAGAAGGUAUGAACCUCAAAUCAUGCCCACUGGUUUUUGCUUAGUUAAUCCCAACCUACUUGGACCUCAUCAAACAAACUGCCUUGCUACAAAGAAAUUGAUAGGGGUGCUAUUAGAGGUUCUGCUUAUUAAUCAUACUUUUUUCUUUUAAUGAUUUUUUUCUCGGUCCAUUUUUGUCCUAUUAAUGCUUUAUUUGAUGGUAGUUAUUUUUCAACCAUUCAGACACUUAAUAAGGGAAUUUUUUGAAGCUUAUGUAAGGGUGGUCAACAUUUCGAACAUUGAACCUUUUGAAAUCCUUCUCCUACUUGUACAAUUUUUUUAUGUUUUGGUUGAUGUUAUUGCUUCCUAAGGAAAUAAAUGAAUAUGUAUUUGUUUUUUAUAUGUUAUGUCAAUUGUAUAAACUGCCAUAAUGGUUGGUAUCUUAUUGUUCAAGGUGGUUAAAUUUUAUGUUA
Molecule: RNA transcript, 2742 nt
Organism: Vitis vinifera (wine grape)
Lineage: Eukaryota; Viridiplantae; Streptophyta; Magnoliopsida; Vitales; Vitaceae
Gene name: putative pentatricopeptide repeat-containing protein At5g52630
Exons: 5
Source: RefSeq, a predicted model, not a curated record